CGACGGGUGGUUUGUCAGGAUCAAGGUCCUGUCAGAGCCGCGAGCGUCGAGGUUCCAGUCUUUGACUAGCUAUCUGUGCGCUGUGUCCAGUGUGAGUGUGAAUGAAUAUGAUUGUAACUAAAAUGGCCCAGUCUCCCCAAGGGGACGCUAACAGCUACAAACAGAAAUUGUGGAGUUUAGAAUCUUGAGACA
Long non-coding RNA from Amblyraja radiata (thorny skate), 192 nucleotides. RefSeq lists it as uncharacterized. The record is from RefSeq and is a predicted model, not a curated record. The transcript has 3 exons. NCBI's taxonomy places the organism in Eukaryota, Metazoa, Chordata, Chondrichthyes, Rajiformes, Rajidae.